AUGAUCGGGGCGGCGCGGGUUCCGCUGCUGGACGCGCUGGUGCUCGGGGACGAUGACGACGACAGCGCCGACGAGCCGGCGGAGGAGAAGAGGAUGGAGAAGAAGAGGCGACCCAACCACCAGUCGAAGCUGGCGGAGGGGACGCGGACGUUCUACAAGAGGGUCGAGCUGCAGGGUUGGCGGCCGGGGGAAGCCGGGGGAGACCCGACCAAUGUUGUUUGCGGCACGGUGGUCGUAAAAUUGCGCUUAACUGAACACGACGACCUCCCCGGUCGAUGA
RNAcentral lists this ribosomal RNA (279 nucleotides) under Triticum aestivum (bread wheat). Its description in RNAcentral is "partial small subunit ribosomal RNA". The record is from RNAcentral. Lineage: Eukaryota; Viridiplantae; Streptophyta; Magnoliopsida; Poales; Poaceae.